This 440-nucleotide ribosomal RNA is filed under the name uncultured bacterium. RNAcentral's name for it is "partial 16S ribosomal RNA". It matches the Rfam family "Bacterial small subunit ribosomal RNA", at positions 338 to 795 of the family's 1533-position model. The record is from RNAcentral.
CCUACGGGCGUCAGCAGUAGGGAAUAUUGCUCAAUGGGGGAAACCCUGAAGCAGCAACGCCGCGUGGAGGAUGAAGGUUUUCGGAUUGUAAACUCCUUUUGUUAGAGAAGAUAAUGACGGUAUCUAACGAAUAAGCACCGGCUAACUCCGUGCCAGCAGCCGCGGUAAUACGGAGGGUGCAAGCGUUACUCGGAACCACUGGGCGUAAAGAGCGCGUAGGCGGGAUAGCAAGUCAGAUGUGAAAUCCUAUGGCUUAACCAUAGAACUGCAUUUGAAACUGUUAGUCUAGAGUAUGGGAGAGGUAGGUGGAAUGCUUGGUGUAGGGGUAAAAUGCGUAGAGAUCAAGAGGAAUACUCAUUGCGAAGGCGACCUGCUAGAACAUAACUGACGCUGAUGCACGAAAGCGUGGGUAUCAAACAGGAUUAGAUACCCUAGUAGUC